GACGAACGCUGGCGGCGUGCUUAAUACAUGCAAGUCGAGCGGACCGAGCGGCGCGUUGCUGGUUUCCAGCGACAAGCUGCAAAGGUUAGCGGCGAACGGGUGAGUAACACGUGGGUAAUCUGCCCCCAAGACCGGGAUAACAGAGCGAAAGCGCUGCUAAUACUGGAUGACCUCUCUUUAUCGCAUGGUGGAGGGAGCAAAGCGUAAGCGCUUGGGGAUGAGCCCGCGUUCCAUUAGCUAGUUGGUGAGGUAACGGCUCACCAAGGCGACGAUGGAUAGCCGGCCUGAGAGGGUGACCGGCCACACUGGGACUGAGACACGGCCCAGACUCCUACGGGAGGCAGCAGUAGGGAAUUUUCGGCAAUGGGGGAAACCCUGACCGAGCAACGCCGCGUGAGGGAUGAAGGCCUUCGGGUCGUAAACCUCUGUCUUUGGGGACGAUAAUGACGGUACCCGAGGAGGAAGCCCCGGCUAACUACGUGCCAGCAGCCGCGGUAAUACGUANGGGGCGAGCGGUUGUCCGGAAUUACUGGCCGUAAAGGGCGUGUA
Molecule: ribosomal RNA, 549 nt
Filed under: uncultured bacterium
Lineage: Bacteria
Description: bacterial SSU rRNA
Rfam family: Bacterial small subunit ribosomal RNA
Source: RNAcentral